RNAcentral lists this long non-coding RNA (2469 nucleotides) under Homo sapiens (human). Its description in RNAcentral is "HSALNT0300217". Lineage: Eukaryota; Metazoa; Chordata; Mammalia; Primates; Hominidae. The record is from RNAcentral.
GGAGAUUUGGCGGAUGAAUCAUUCAGUGUGGAAGUAGACGAACAGGCAUGAUGAGGUUGUGCACAAAAGCUGGUUGGAAUGAUGAGGGUGUGACUUCAGUCACAGGAGUGAUGGAGAGGCAUAACACCAUCUGAGAGAUGUGAACAGAUUUUGUGAACAAUUUGGCAUGAGGAGAGAAAGGAACCUGAAGUUUUUAGCAAGGAAGACAAGAAAAUGGAGGCAAAGAACAUUGGAGUCACUCCCUGGCUACACACACUGAGGUGAUAACCAAGGUGCUCAAAAAGGGCCGGUGUGCCGCAGUGAGUGCCAGUUUGAAUGAAGGAAGCAUGCGUGGCCUGAAGCCUCACCGUGUUCCAGGCGUCCAGUUAAGUGCUCUGCACAUAAUAUCACACAUUGCGCUCCACGAUAAGAACAAAUUCUCACAUGGGAACCGAGCAAAGUGUAAUGGAUGUUCCCAGGAGCUGCCUAUGGGAUUCAAGAAAACUGUAUGAGAGGAGUAACAUUUGGGCUGGAAGCGAAAAUACAAGUAAACAUAUGUCAAAUGGGGUCUGGAAAGCAAUCCUCCACAGAAAGAAAGCAGAAUCUUCUGGGCAUUUCUGAGCAAGUGGACUUCCUUCAGCUGAGCACAGUCCUCAGGAGAAGCGGACAGGUGCAAAGUGUUGGAAGCCAACACUCACAGCAGUUGGGGGUUGGAGUGCUCUGGCUUCCAACAGCAUUGAAACCAACAGCAUUGACUACAGCGAGUUUCUCAAUCUUCAGAACACAUCCCAGCCUCCCUGGGGGCUGCUAAUGCACAGAUUGCCGUUUCCCACUCCAAGAGUUUCUGAUUCCAGAGGUCUGGGGUAGGGCUCGAUAAUUUGUUCUUCUAACCACCUAAUGCUGUUGGUCCAGUGACCACACUUUGAGAAAUGCUGUACUAUGUUUUCUCAUAUAUUUAAAAAUUCUCACCUCAUUUAUGGUUUAAAACUUCUAGAACAAUUCUGAAUAGUUUUUGUAAUAGUGAGCCUCACUUUCCUGUCUCUGCCCUUAAUGGGAAUGUCUCUAAUGAUUCACCUUUCAUACGGGGACUUGUUGUGGUUUACUGGGCAAUUCCUUUUGGCAGGUUAAAAAAAUUCCCUCUGUUUCAAGCUAAAGCCAUUUACCAGGAAGAGACGCUAAGUUUUAUCAGAGGGUUUUUCCAGUAACUAUUGUGAUAAUCAUGGUUUUUUUUCCUAUUUAUUACGAUAUCAAACAUGAAACUUAUUUGAAGUCCUGGAUUAAACGGUGCUUGUUUUCUAUAAUGUUUUGUUCCUUAAAUGUACUGACAAAUUUAAUUUAUUAUUUUUUUAGGAUUUGAGGUACAAGUUCAUACGUGAUAAUGACUUACUGUUUUGUUUUCAUUAUUUCCUCCUUCCAUCCUUUCUUGAUAUCCUUUUUAUCUCUUGGUUUCAAAAUUACACUAGCGUCAUAGAAUGAGUUGGAAAUUAGCCCAUUAUUCUCCAUGCCAUGGAGUGUUUUGCAAAACAUAAGAAUGAUCAGUUCCUUACAUAUUUGGUAGAAUUUACCUUAUAAAACACAGUAGGUUUUGUGUCUCUUCUGGAGUCCAGAUACUGCUAUGGACUGAAUGUUUGUACCCUCUAAGAUUCAUUAGGUUGAAAUCCUAGCCUCAAAGUGGUGGUAUUAGGAGGUGGGACUUUUGGGAGGUGAUCAGGCCAAGAGGGUGGAGCCCUCAUGAAUGGGAUUAGUGCCCUUAUCAAAUAAGGCAAAAGGAGCUCUUUAACCUCUCCCACCAUGUGAGGACAAAGUGAAAAGACACCAUCUAUGAACCAGGAAGCAGGGCCUCACCGGAUGCCAAACCUGCCAGCACCUGGCCCUUGGACUUCCAGCCACCAGAACUGUGAAGAAGAAAUUUCUAUUGCUUAUAAAUACCCAGUUUACGGCAUUCUGUUAUAGAAGUGCCUAAUAGGCUAAGGCAAAUACUAUAUGGUAUUUAGGAUUGCUUCUGUAUAUUUUUAAGACUUUUUUAUUUUGGAAUAAUAAUAAUUCACAGAAAAUUUACAGAGAAAGUCUCCACAUGCCCCUCACCCCACUUCCCCUAAUGUUAACAUAACCGUGGUCCAUUUGUCAAAACUAAGAAAUGAGGAUUGGUACCAUACUAUUGACUGAAUUACAGACAUUACUUGGAUUUUGUCAAUUGUUUUACUAAUAUUCUAUUAUUUCUGUGUCAGAUUCCAAUCUGGAUAACAUGUUGCAUUUGUUCAUCACGUCUCCUUUGUUUUUCCUGGGCUGUGACAGUUUCUUAUUCUUUUCUUGUAUUGCCUGGCUUUGAAUUUUGAGGAAUUCUGGUUAAGUAUUUUGUAAACUGUCACUAAAUUUUGCUUGUCAGAUGUUUUCUCCUGGGUUAGACUGGGCUUACAGGUUUUGGGGAAGAACUCUACAAAAGGGAAAUGUCUUUCUCAUCUCAUCUAAUAAAUGGAUAUAGGAUAUCAA